This 68-nucleotide transfer RNA is filed under the name Prolachesilla sp. PrspLA. RNAcentral's name for it is "tRNA-Ser". Lineage: Eukaryota; Metazoa; Arthropoda; Insecta; Psocodea; Lachesillidae. The record is from RNAcentral.
GAAUUAUUAUGCCCCCCCCCUUAAGCUGCUAACUUAAACUGAAAUGGUUAAAUUCCAUUUAUAAUUCU